RNAcentral lists this long non-coding RNA (460 nucleotides) under Chrysemys picta bellii (western painted turtle). Its description in RNAcentral is "lncRNA (ENSCPBG00000012326.1)". Lineage: Eukaryota; Metazoa; Chordata; Testudines; Emydidae. The record is from RNAcentral.
UCAGGGGGAGCCUGGAGAAAUGGGGCCGAAGGGACUUCAAGGAAUUGCUGGUCUUCCAGGAAUGGUGGGGCAGAAAGGAGACCAAGGAAGUCAGGGCUUUCCAGGUGCUCCGGCCAUGGGGGUUGUUGGACCUCCAGGCAAGAAGGGUGCCAGAGUAAGUUAACUAUGCAGAACAACUUUAAAACUUGCAUGAGACCUUUGUCUAAGAAGACUAGGGCUGAGUACCAUGUUACUCACUGAGAUUCCUGGGAUAUACGAAGACCUGGCCUCAUGAAAUGACAGAGCUCAAGUGAACAGAGAUUGGAAUUCAAGAACAGUCAUACUGGGUCAGACCAGUGGUCCAUUUAGCCAGUAUCCUCUGUCUAACAGUGUCCAGGGCCAGAUGCUUCAGAGGGACUGAACAGAACAGGGCAAUUAAGUGAUCCAGCCCCUAGCAUCCGGUCCCAGCUUCUAGCAGUCA